Molecule: ribosomal RNA, 446 nt
Filed under: uncultured bacterium
Lineage: Bacteria
Description: SSU rRNA
Rfam family: Bacterial small subunit ribosomal RNA
Source: RNAcentral
AGAGCGAACGCUGGCGGCAGGCCUAACACAUGCAAGUCGAGCGCCCGUAGCAAUACGGGAGCGGCAGACGGGAUAGUAACACGUGGGAACGCGCCCUUCGGUUCGGAAUAACUCAGGGAAACUUGAGCUAAUACCGAAUACGCCCUUACGGGGAAAGAUUUAUUGCCGAAGGAACGGCCCGCGUCCGAUUAGCUAGUUGGUGAGGUAAUGGCUCACCAAGGCUACGAUCGGUAGCUGGUCUGAGAGGAUGACCAGCAUCACUGGGACUGAGACACGGCCCAGACUCCUACGGGAGGCAGCAGUGGGAAUAUGGACAAUGGGCGCAAGCCUGAUCCAGCCAUGCCGCGUGGAUGAUGAAGGCCUUAGGGUUGUAAAGUCCCUUUAACGGGGAAGAUAAUGACGGUACCCGUAGAAUAAGCCCCGGCUAACUUCGUGCCAGCAGCCGC